This 246-nucleotide long non-coding RNA is filed under the name Zalophus californianus (California sea lion). Its description in RNAcentral is "Nuclear RNase P (ENSZCAG00015007989.1)". It matches the Rfam family "Nuclear RNase P", at positions 72 to 285 of the family's 301-position model. From Rfam's summary of the family: Ribonuclease P (RNase P) is a ubiquitous endoribonuclease, found in archaea, bacteria and eukarya as well as chloroplasts and mitochondria. Its best characterised activity is the generation of mature 5'-ends of tRNAs by cleaving the 5'-leader elements of precursor-tRNAs. Cellular RNase Ps are ribonucleoproteins. Lineage: Eukaryota; Metazoa; Chordata; Mammalia; Carnivora; Otariidae. The record is from RNAcentral.
UCUGAGACUAGGGCUAAAAGCAGCCCUCACAGGGUCCUCCAUGAGUUUCAGGGUGGUGAAUUCCUAGAAAACAGGGCUCUGCAGAAGGGCAGACUGGGCAGGAGAGGUCAUAGACCCCAACCUUGGGGAGUGGCCUGGCGGAUGCUUCCUUAGCCAGAGCUCAGAACAGACUCAUGGCCAGUGAGUGAAGUGAGUUCAAUGGCUGAAGUGAGGUACCCUGCCUGGGAGCCUCAUAACCCAAUACAG